Zingiber officinale is the source of this 771-nucleotide long non-coding RNA. RefSeq lists it as uncharacterized. Lineage: Eukaryota; Viridiplantae; Streptophyta; Magnoliopsida; Zingiberales; Zingiberaceae. The transcript is spliced from 4 exons. The record is from RefSeq and is a predicted model, not a curated record.
CUUGCUUCUCCGUUGUACGAAAGUUUAUGACCGUUGUUUAGGGUCAAGUUUAUGACCGUUGUAUAGGCCUAAACGCGCUGCCCCAAUUUCUUCCUUCGUGAUCUCCUCUCCCGAUAUCCGAUCUCCGAGAUCCUCAUGCGACCUUUCACUAAGCUUCUCUCCCCUCUCCCCUUCCCCGGUUACCCCCGAUCUGUCGGCAGGCCUCUCCCCUCUCCCCUUACCCCCGAUCUGUCGGCGGGCAGCCGAGGCGCGAUGCCGUUCCCGCGAUUGGGUCACGCCUAGGCCGCGGCCUCGCAGCGAGGUCGCGGAGGCCGGGCGCGACCUCAGCCGCGUGAUAUUUCAAGUUGCGUUCCUCUGAGUCAGGGUUUCAAGAAUUUCAGCAAGACAGCUAGAGACCUUUUGCUCAAAAUGCAGAAAAUCGAUGGAGAUUACUAUCUGAGACUUUACACGAGAUGUUCAUUGUCAAUGCUGGCACUGGCUUUAGGCUCCUUUGGAACACCGUUAAAGGUUUUCUUGAGCCAAAAACAACUGCAAAGAUACAUCAACUUCCAGAUUCCUUGGGUUGGUUGUGCACUUGCUCCAAUGAAGACGGAUGUUUGAAAUCUAACAAAGGGCCAUGGAAAUGGAAUAAUCCCAACAUUAUGGAGCAAUCACUACUUUAUCCUUGAAGCGGCAUUGCUAAGGCAUACUAGCCAAAUGUCAGAAGGAGGUGAAGCCUUUGUAGAGUCAUAUCUUUUGAAGGCAAGCUUUAUAUCUAGCCUUUAUUUUGUU